GGUGCAUGCAAUUCACCUGAGUGACUGGAAGGGCUGAAGCCAGGAUCCACCCCUUCUGAGACCUCAUUUAAGGGCUGGCAGUAGAGACAAGGGUAUCUUGUUGGAGAUCCCUGUGUACCUGAGGCCUUCUGAAGGUAAGCUGCUUCUUUCUUUUGUUUUUGUGCACAUUGCUGUUGCAUUUGGGUAAAUCCUCUCUUGUUGCAGCCUGGGGCCUUAUUACUCUUUUGUCAUUGCUGCGUUUUCCAUUGUGUUACAGUGACCUGGUGUGUAUCUUUGGAUUUGCACUACAAUUGGUCUCCUUUCUAAGCAGUGGUGCUACAGACCUUCUAAACAUGACCUCUAGUAGCAAGAGUACAGCCCGAUCAAUUGUCCAUUGACUUUCACAGGUGAUGCUUUCAGCCAGUUUAAGUCUCUGUUUGCUACAUCCCAAGUGAAGCUGCACAAGCAAUUCAGACAAUAGAGUUGUUUGGUAAUUCUGCUGAAUAAAAAAAAAAAAAAAAAAAAUGGGGGGAAGCA
Molecule: long non-coding RNA, 516 nt
Filed under: Numida meleagris (helmeted guineafowl)
Lineage: Eukaryota; Metazoa; Chordata; Aves; Galliformes; Numididae
Description: lncRNA (ENSNMEG00000009055.1)
Source: RNAcentral